Molecule: long non-coding RNA, 1145 nt
Filed under: Arachis ipaensis
Lineage: Eukaryota; Viridiplantae; Streptophyta; Magnoliopsida; Fabales; Fabaceae
Description: long non-coding RNA (AIPA_LNC002484)
Source: RNAcentral
CUGACUUCCUUUAUUAUAAAUUUACUAUUGAGCCUUUACGUCGAUAUCGCGUUUCCGUUUUUAAGAAAAUUUCAGAAAAAAAUAGAUUUUAGUAUUAAAAUCACAUAACAAAAGAUCUUCAAAUAAUAACAAUCACAUAAUUACUAAUAAUAAUAGAGGUUAUACGAUUAAAUUCAAUGUAAAACUCGAAUACAAUACCUAUCCCUCUGGAUAAAAUAAAAACCCUAAAGCAACAAGGACGAGGGAACUCUAUAAAAACAACAGGAAUCACAAGUAAAUCUACGAAUCGUCUGCAGCUUCUUACUGAAUCUCCGAACCUGUGUCACUAAAAGGGUGGAAGAUUUGGGGUGAGAACAAACCACACAUUCUCAGUAGGGAAUGGGAAUGCCGUAAAAGUAAUGAAUUUAAUGCAAAUAAUUAACUUACUUAGUAAAACUAUUUUGUUAAACUUUUGAAAAUACUUUUAUUUCUACUUUAGAUAAAUAAUUACUUUUCUUUAGAUUUCUAAACUCAAAACAAAUUUUAAAUAUAAAACUGGUCACAUUUUCUGUCUCUCAGCCACAUAGUUAAUCCUCAGUCAAAUGUCAACUCGUAAUCACUUUAAUACACUCACAAACAAGUAGCGCAAGCAAGAGAUUCAAUUCAAUGUACAAGCAAGUCACAACAAGACAAACAAUACAAUCACAAAGUAGUAAGACAAGCAAGUGCAAUCAAAUGCAAAUGUGCAAACAACAUGAUGCAUGUCUAUCCCUAACGCAGGCCAUGAGCUCAUGUGUCGGUUGCCUACCCGCUCCCGACAUUACCCGGGCACAAGUCCCAGAUAUGGCUUUCCAGAUGCAUCAGUGUGCUUAUAAGUCGUACGGCUAGGCCGCAUCAGUGUGAAUUUCCAAAUCAAUAAGCGUACAUCUGGAAAACAGUUCUCAGUGUGUGGGCGUCCCCACUUUACAUUUGGCACUAAGGCCCAAACAAUGUCACAUCUGCUCUCCUGUGGCAGACACUUCAUUAAUUAAUAUAUUCUUUAAAUCCUUGUUCUCUGCUCUCCUGUGGCAGAGAUUCCUUUUCUUAAAAAAACCAAGCUCAAAACAACACUUAGAACAAAAUCUCUCCUUACAAAACUGGAUUUAAAACAUUAUGUUUUUCUUAAU